This is a long non-coding RNA of Apodemus sylvaticus (European woodmouse), 2841 nucleotides long. RefSeq lists it as uncharacterized. NCBI's taxonomy places the organism in Eukaryota, Metazoa, Chordata, Mammalia, Rodentia, Muridae. The record is from RefSeq and is a predicted model, not a curated record. The transcript has 4 exons.
GGAGGAGCUAGGGGAAAUGAACAGAAAGGUGGCAGAGAAGCUCAUGGCCUGGAGAAACCCAAUCAGGAGAUGCUGAGUGUUUGUGGAAAGAGCCACACCCAGAUUGGAGCAGCUGCCUUCUCAAGUGGGUCUGACUCAAAGGUGCUUGGGUCAGAAGAGCCAAGGCUGACCCAUCAUGCCUGACCCCAAAGUCAGCUCCAAUUCACUUGAAGAAGAAAGAUGUUUCUGAGAAGAAAAUCUGAAUCAGCAGUUGGCAUCCCAGUUUCCUACCUUGCCACACAUCUCUCCUGUCCAGUGCUGCCACGUGGAACCUUCUUCACCACACAGUCAGUCACUCGAUUUCCCCUGGCACGUCGGAAGAGGAGAACUCAGCGCGCACACUGAAGGACUGAUAGGCAAAAGGCGUGGUCUUCAUAUAGAAGGAAAGUGCACUUUGCAGACAGUGGAAGGGCUUACGUCAUGGAUGGAUCUCUCUUGGGGGUCCCUAAAAUUGCCUGUGAGACAGCAGUGCGGUGAGCACUGUUUGUUAUAAGCUUGCUUUGUGACCAGCUUUGUGUUAAACAUUGGCGCUAGAAAGAGGAAUGCAGUAGCCCUAGUCUCUGGGGUGGAGUCUAAUAUGCAGAAAGAACACUCAACUCUUCCCAAAGAUAAAGCCUGAGAAGAAAGAUUGACCCCCCCCCCCCGUGGGAAACCCAGAGAAGGGAGGAAAUUAAGAGACAGUCACCCCAGGUCCUUUGCAUUAACCGUUGUUUUCCUUGGCUAGACACUCUCCUUAGAGCCCCUCUAUUUCUCACUUCUUCAGCUAUGCUCAGACAAGAGCUAGUGUCAGAGGAUUGUGGGUAAAACAGACAAAUCCUGUGACACUCAGCAGGCUGUUAAAUCAAAGCACUGCAUGUGUCAACUCUUUCGCCAGGCCUCAGACUUCUUCUUUGUUCCUGGUGGUUUCUGACUCUGGUGUCUGCUCUCCUCUGUGUCGAAUCCCUCGUGUGUGGUGAAUAUUUUGAAAUCACACAUUCCGAGCUAAGCCUCCGACUGAAGAGUAAAUCAAUACCCCCUCCCUCAAGUAAUCACCACUUCCUUGUGCAUUGAAUGCAGGCACCAGCGCAGCAGCAAGGCUGGGAGCAGGGGCCAAGCCCGGUGGGUCUGGUUACCUCACGCAAGAUUCAAAGUCAUAAGGAUUUUUUUUUUUUAAGCCAAUUGGCAUGAAAAUUGGUAAACGUCGGGUCAACCUCGGUGGAAGUAUUCAAACACAAAAAUCAGCUGAUGUGAAAUACUGGCCGUCUCCUUCCAUGAUUCUGACUCUUAAGCAUUAACUACUACACUUUUGACAAGAUGGCCCACAGAGGAUGAGGAGACAGCUUAGACAAAUGGUCCCAUUAGCAAAAGCCACACAAAGCCUGUGCCAGGGGACAGAGCGCUGAACCCUCCUCCCUGGUCCUGUGAAGAGAAGUGACAUCUCGCCUUUGCUCCGUGCCUGAGGACUCUCUAAGGCAGAGUUCUGCAUACUUUAGGUAAAGGCCAGGUAAGGUAUCUGCUGGCCAGGCCAUCUGUUCACUGCUUCUGCAAUUUCCUCUUGCGUCUGUGACACAGCAAGAGCCGUAGUCAGAGAGAGGCUGACGGGUGUGGCUGGGUUCCAAUAGAAUGUUAUUUCUGGACACCGAAGUUUGAAUUUCCUGUCAUUUGCGUAUGUCACAAAACAGCCUUCUUUUGGUCACCCUGCAACCACUCAUAAAUGUAAAAUCUAUUCUCGGCUCACAGGCACAGGCCUGUAUUUGCUUUGUAGUCUACAGUUUGCCUAACACGUUGAAGUUCAGUAGAUUAAAUGAUGUCAGAGAAGAAAAGCUGGCCCCCAAGUCUCCCUCAAUCACAGUAGCCACUCUGGUUUUUGAGCAGUGUACUCAACAAGUACUACACUAAGAACUGUGUUACAUGUUAGCUCAUCUAACAUUUCAAGGGAUGCCAAAAUGAGGUUUAGAAAAGAAAAAUAAUAGGGCUGAGGUUAGAGCAUGGCUAAGCUGCCUGGGGUUUUGGAUGUGUUUUGUUUAUUUAGGAAGCCUGUGCUCUUAGCCCGUGUCACCCUGGCCUGAAAUCCUAGAUCUGAUUUACCCCUGGCUGGCAGCCACUGCCUUCCCUUGUGCUCUCUGCUCAGUGGGGCAGCCAUGGUCUGUGACUCAGACCCUAAUGGCAUCUAGCAAACUUCAUCUAGAAAAACAGUAAGGUGAGCUAAGGCCUAUCCACCAGCUUUAGCUUUAGGAAAAAAAAAUCUAUAAAAUAAAGACAGGGGUUGAGUAGCGCCUGCAAUGUCCUUUUCCCUGGAAAAUCAGGCAAAGCAGUCACACCUAUCAUGAGGACCAAGCAUCUCUCCCAGAACCUGUGUGUGUUGACCCCAUAGGGGUCACGUAUCAGACAACCUGCAUAUCAGAUAUUUACGUUACGAUUCAUAACAGUAGAAAAUUACAGUUAUGAAGUAGCAACAAAGUAAUGUCAUGGUUGGAGGUCACCACAGCAUGAGGAACUGUAUUAAAGGGUCACAGCGUUAGGAAGGUUGAGGACCCCUGUGUCGAACUCUCCUUAAAGGGCAAGCUCAGUCCACGCUAGACCAAGCUUCACGCUUGGCCGACAAAAGGCCAAAAGCAAACCGAUAAAGGGACCGAAGCUAGGAGCUCUGCAUCUCCACACUUCGAAAAGAACAAGGGAUAGAAGACUAACUCUCUAGAGGACACAGGAUUCUGAACAGAAAAACCCAUUUAAGCUUUAUACGUGUAAAUGUAAGCAGGCGUUUAAGGCAGUAACAGCUAGGUUAUUAAAAAUGAAAAAAAAUCCAAAAUUAUGAUAUCAUUA